RNAcentral lists this ribosomal RNA (35 nucleotides) under Indigofera decora. Its description in RNAcentral is "partial 18S ribosomal RNA". The record is from RNAcentral. Lineage: Eukaryota; Viridiplantae; Streptophyta; Magnoliopsida; Fabales; Fabaceae.
GGUUUCCGUAGGUGAACCUGCGGAAGGAUCAUUGU